AAAUUACCAAGGAGCAGGUAUCAGGCACAACCCGUUAGCCCAAAACACCUUGCUACGCCACACCCACACGGGCACCCAGCAGUGAUAAAUAUUAAGCAAUGAGUAAAAACCAACUAAAGCUCGACUUAGUUAUGAUUAUUAGAGCCGGUAAACCUCGUGCCAGCCACCGCGGUUAUACGAGGGGCCCAAAACAACGGAAAUCGGCGUAAAUUGUGACUAGAGUAUCUACUUAUAUCAUUGGAAAAUAAACAAAAACUCAACCGUAAAACCCGAGUCAAAAGAAACAUAGUUUUCCAACUACAAAGAAACUUGAACCCACGAAGACUAAGAAACAAACUAGGAUUAGAUACCCUACUAUGCUUAGUUGUUAACAUGAUACCAAAAAACACCAGUAUCCGCCAGAAGAUUACACGCGAAAAGCUUAAAACUCAAAGGACUUGGCGGUGCUCCGUAUUCGCCUUAGAGGAGCCUGUCCUAUAAUCGAUAACCCACGUUUUACCUUACCAUCUUUUGUCAAUACAGCCUAUAUACCGCCGUCGCAAACUUACCCCAUGAGGGAACAACAGUAAGUAAAAUAGUAACACACUAACACGUCAGGUCAAGGUGUAGCUAAUAAGAUGGAAGAGAUGGGCUACAUUUUCUAAAACAGAACACACGGCAAAGAGCACUGAAAUAUGCUCUAAAAGGUGGAUUUAAUAGUAAGAUAGAAAAGAAAACCUAUCUAAAAC
RNAcentral lists this ribosomal RNA (728 nucleotides) under Liolaemus koslowskyi. Its description in RNAcentral is "partial 12S ribosomal RNA". It matches the Rfam family "Bacterial small subunit ribosomal RNA", at positions 298 to 1368 of the family's 1533-position model. Lineage: Eukaryota; Metazoa; Chordata; Lepidosauria; Squamata. The record is from RNAcentral.